ACGGCUCGAACGUAGCAAUCUUCCCAUGAGCGUAAGUAUACUUAAGCUUACAGUUGUUUGUUCCCACCAUGUGAUUAACAGAGAGUUUGUUAGAAGGAUCAAUCAAAAGGCUCCCAUCCACGAUUGUUCUGUUAUCAGCUCUGCUAUGUAUGUAAGUCAGAUUCAAUGGCUUCUCAGCAAUCCUUACUGUGUUCAUGAACUGAAACCUAACAUCCUGUAACCACACAAAUGGAUUCCCUAGGAAUAAUCGUAAGCAAUCUCCAUGGAAACUGAAAUCAAUCAAAAGAGGAGGAAGGUGAAAGAGUUACUUUCUUGGGGACGUUGUACUCGACGAUGAAGAAACCAGGCUUCUCCACGGCGAGAGAGAGGCCGUUCAAGGUAGGC
RNAcentral lists this long non-coding RNA (384 nucleotides) under Brassica rapa (field mustard). Its description in RNAcentral is "long non-coding RNA (BRAP_LNC001306)". The record is from RNAcentral. Lineage: Eukaryota; Viridiplantae; Streptophyta; Magnoliopsida; Brassicales; Brassicaceae.